This is a non-coding RNA of Rhodotorula taiwanensis, 80 nucleotides long. The record is from the annotation of a GenBank genome assembly. NCBI's taxonomy places the organism in Eukaryota, Fungi, Basidiomycota, Microbotryomycetes, Sporidiobolales, Sporidiobolaceae.
AAAAAGAACUGCACAGACCGGGAAUCGAACCCGGGCCGCGGUCAUGGGAAAACCGCAUUCUGCCACUGAACUAUCAGUGC